Carassius carassius (crucian carp) is the source of this 346-nucleotide long non-coding RNA. RefSeq lists it as uncharacterized. The record is from RefSeq and is a predicted model, not a curated record. The transcript has 2 exons. Lineage: Eukaryota; Metazoa; Chordata; Actinopteri; Cypriniformes; Cyprinidae.
AUUUUAGAAGCAGAGGCUUGGUCCGUUCUCUUUUUGUUUGUAGGAAUUGUGUGAAAGAAACAAUUUAGUCCAGUAAUCAAGAGAUUGUAGAAGCAAUUGCUUGGUCCGUUCUCUUUAUGUCUGUAGGAAUUGAAUUGUGUAAAAAAAAAAAACAAUUUAGUCCAUUUCUCCAGAGACUGUAGGAGCCGUAGAUAGAAUUGGGACUGAUGUUGCUGCAAGAAUUGGGAAUUCUUGACUGGGUGCUAAUUCAGUAGCCACUAAUGUAGAUUGAAAUAAAUGUUCAAACCGAGUUAGAAGAUGAUGGCAUUAAACCAUGAAACUAUAAGGUUGUUUGCCUUCCAUGAAA